UCAAUGAAAUUUAAAUAGCCGCAAUAUAUCUGUGCUAAGGUAGCAUAAUAAUUUGUCUUUUAAUUAAAGACUAGAACAAAAGAUUUAACAUUUUUAUUUCUUUCUUAACAAUAUAUAAUAUUUAAAUUAUCUUAAAUAUAAAAAGAUAUUUUUUUUUAAAAAAGACGAUAAGACCCUAUUGAACUUAACUAAAGUUAAACUGGGGUAGUUAAUUAAAUAUAAUUUUAAUUGAAAAUCAACAAAUACCUAAUACAAUUAAAUUAAUCAAGUUACCAUAGGGAUAACAGCGUAAUAAUUUUUUAUAGCUCUUAUUUAAAAAAUAAUUUACGACCUCGAUGUUGAAUUAAUAAUCUAUUAAAUGCAAUAAUUUAAUAAGAAAGUC
RNAcentral lists this ribosomal RNA (382 nucleotides) under Pireneitega involuta. Its description in RNAcentral is "partial large subunit ribosomal RNA". The record is from RNAcentral. Lineage: Eukaryota; Metazoa; Arthropoda; Arachnida; Araneae; Agelenidae.